This 109-nucleotide ribosomal RNA is filed under the name Scleropages formosus (Asian bonytongue). Lineage: Eukaryota; Metazoa; Chordata; Actinopteri; Osteoglossiformes; Osteoglossidae. The record is from RNAcentral.
GUUUACGGCCAUACCACCCUGAAUACGUCCGAUCUCGGAAGCUAAGCAGGGUCGGGCCCGGUUAGUACUUGGAUGGGAGACCGCCUGGGAAUACCGGGUGCUGUAAGCU